Molecule: transfer RNA, 71 nt
Filed under: Bos taurus (domestic cattle)
Lineage: Eukaryota; Metazoa; Chordata; Mammalia; Artiodactyla; Bovidae
Also listed under: 2 other names
Rfam family: tRNA
About the family: Transfer RNA (tRNA) molecules are approximately 80 nucleotides in length. Their secondary structure includes four short double-helical elements and three loops (D, anti-codon, and T loops).
Source: Rfam by way of RNAcentral
UCCCUAAUGGCUCAGUGGUAAAGAAUCUGCCUGCAAUGCAGGAGACCAGGGUUCGUUCCCUGGGUCGGGAA